AGGUCGUUUUGAGGGCAAUUUCUUAUCAACCCCUUGUAUCUCUCCCACGCCUCAUAGAGUGAUUCUCCCGGCAAUUGCUCAAAGUUAGCAAUUGCUUUCUGCAAUUU
Lactuca sativa (garden lettuce) is the source of this 107-nucleotide small nucleolar RNA. NCBI's taxonomy places the organism in Eukaryota, Viridiplantae, Streptophyta, Magnoliopsida, Asterales, Asteraceae. The record is from RefSeq and is a predicted model, not a curated record.